GUUGGGCGUGGUGGUGCAUGCCUGUAGUCCCAGCUACUCAGGAGGCUGAGGCAGGAGACUCACUUGAACCCAGGAGGCGGAGGUUGCAGUGAGCCGAGAUUACACCACUGCACUCCAGCCUGGGUGACAGAGUGAGACUCUGUCUCAA
Non-coding RNA from Gorilla gorilla gorilla (western lowland gorilla), 148 nucleotides. It matches the Rfam family "Metazoan signal recognition particle RNA". From Rfam's summary of the family: The signal recognition particle (SRP) is a universally conserved ribonucleoprotein. It is involved in the co-translational targeting of proteins to membranes. The record is from Rfam. NCBI's taxonomy places the organism in Eukaryota, Metazoa, Chordata, Mammalia, Primates, Hominidae.